RNAcentral lists this ribosomal RNA (388 nucleotides) under uncultured bacterium. RNAcentral's name for it is "bacterial SSU rRNA". It matches the Rfam family "Bacterial small subunit ribosomal RNA", at positions 29 to 416 of the family's 1533-position model. The record is from RNAcentral.
AUUGAACGCUGGCGGCAUGCCUUACACAUGCAAGUCGAACGGUAACGCGGGGCAACCUGGCGACGAGUGGCGAACGGGUGAGUAAUACAUCGGAACGUGCCCAGUAGUGGGGGAUAGCCCGGCGAAAGCCGGAUUAAUACCGCAUACGACCUACGGGUGAAAGCAGGGGAUCGCAAGACCUUGCGCUAUUGGAGCGGCCGAUGUCAGAUUAGGUUGUUGGUGGGGGUAAAAAGCCUACCAAGCCGACGAUCUGUAGCUGGUCUGAGAGGACGACCAGCCACACUGGGGACUGAGACACGGCCCCAGACUCCUACGGGAGGCAGCAGUGGGGAAUUUUGGACAAUGGGCGCAAGCCUGAUCCAGCCAUGCCGCGUGCGGGAAGAAGGCC